Molecule: ribosomal RNA, 301 nt
Filed under: uncultured bacterium
Lineage: Bacteria
Description: partial 16S ribosomal RNA
Rfam family: Bacterial small subunit ribosomal RNA
Source: RNAcentral
CAGUCGCCACGGUAAUACGUAGGGCGCAAGCGUUAUCCGGAAUUAUUGGGCGUAAAGAGCUCGUAGGCGGUUUGUCGCGUCUGCCGUGAAAGUCCGGGGCUCAACCCCGGAUCUGCGGUGGGUACGGGCAGACUAGAGUGAUGUAGGGGAGACUGGAAUUCCUGGUGUAGCGGUGAAAUGCGCAGAUAUCAGGAGGAACACCGAUGGCGAAGGCAGGUCUCUGGGCAUUAACUGACGCUGAGGAGCGAAAGCAUGGGGAGCGAACAGGAUUAGAUACCCCUGUAGUCCCUGUCUCUUAUAC